RNAcentral lists this ribosomal RNA (496 nucleotides) under Pelmatojulus togoensis. RNAcentral's name for it is "partial 16S ribosomal RNA". It matches the Rfam family "Archaeal large subunit ribosomal RNA", at positions 1911 to 2666 of the family's 2987-position model. The record is from RNAcentral. Lineage: Eukaryota; Metazoa; Arthropoda; Diplopoda; Spirobolida; Pachybolidae.
GGUUUUCUGAGGUUAGAUAGAAAAUCUGACCUGCUCACUGAUGCUAAUUAAAGAGCUGCAGUAUAUUGACUGUACAAAGGUAGCAUAAUCAUUAGUCUUUUAAUUGGAGACUGGAAUGAAAGGUUGGACAUACUUAGACUGUCUCUGAUUUAAUAAAUGAAUUUAUUUAUUUGUGAAAAAACAAAGAUUAGCUAAAGGGACAAGAAGACCCUAUCAAACUUGGUUUAGACAAAAAUAUUUUUAUAGAGAUAAAAAUAAUAUUGAGGUUAAAAUUUACUGGGGCGGUAAGUAUUAAUCUAUAUUAUAAUAUAACAUAAUGGAUGGAAAAUGUAAGGAUCCAAUGGAUUGAGAUUAAGAAAUAGUUACUGUAGGGAUAACAGCGUGAUAUUUCUUGAGAGUUCAUAUUGACAGAGAUGUUUGCGACCUCGAUGUUGGAUUAAGGAUUCUUUUUGAUGUAGCUGUCAAUUAAGAUGGUCUGUUCGACUAUUAAAUUCUU